UCUUCGUUUGUAAAUGUAGUAUGUUCGAAGAUUAUCUUUCUGCCAAAUAUCCAUGCUUGCGCGAAAAAGAACUCUACGCGAGAAGAGCGGAAGAAUAUCAUCUAUGGGUUAAAGAAUAUGUAAGUCUACCU
This 131-nucleotide small RNA is filed under the name Arabidopsis thaliana (thale cress). RNAcentral's name for it is "ATSL157090". The record is from RNAcentral. Lineage: Eukaryota; Viridiplantae; Streptophyta; Magnoliopsida; Brassicales; Brassicaceae.